Molecule: non-coding RNA, 31 nt
Filed under: Homo sapiens (human)
Lineage: Eukaryota; Metazoa; Chordata; Mammalia; Primates; Hominidae
Source: RNAcentral
UCCGUGUCCCGCACCAAGUCUGCUUAGCUCA